RNAcentral lists this ribosomal RNA (421 nucleotides) under bacterium. RNAcentral's name for it is "partial 16S ribosomal RNA". It matches the Rfam family "Bacterial small subunit ribosomal RNA", at positions 355 to 776 of the family's 1533-position model. The record is from RNAcentral.
UGGGGAAUUUUGCACAAUGGGGGGAACCUUGAUGCAGCGACGCCGCGUGAGGGAUGGAGGCCUUCGGGUUGUGAACCUCUUUCGCUCGUGUGCAAGCCGCUAUUUGGGUAGUGGUGAGUGUAGCGGGUAAAGAAGCGCCGGCUAACUACGUGCCAGCAGCCGCGGUAAUACGUAGGGCGCGAGCGUUGUCCGGAUUUAUUGGGCGUAAAGGGCUUGUAGGCGGUUUGUCGCGCCUGUCGUGUAAUCCUCUGGCUUAACUGGGGGUGUGCGGUGGGUACGGGCAGGCUUGAGUGCGGUAGGGGAGAUUGGAAUUCCUGGUGUAGCGGUGGAAUGCGCAGAUAUCAGGAGGUACACCGGUGGCGAAGGCGGGUCUCUGGGCCGUUACUGACGCUGAGGAGCGAAAGCGUGGGGAGCGAACAGG